RNAcentral lists this ribosomal RNA (253 nucleotides) under uncultured bacterium. RNAcentral's name for it is "partial 16S ribosomal RNA". It matches the Rfam family "Bacterial small subunit ribosomal RNA", at positions 524 to 776 of the family's 1533-position model. The record is from RNAcentral.
UACGGAGGGAGCUAGCGUUGUUCGGAAUUACUGGGCGUAAAGCGCGCGUAGGCGGCUUUGUAAGUUAGAGGUGAAAGCCCGGGGCUCAACUCCGGAACUGCCUUUAAGACUGCAUCGCUUGAAUCCGGGAGAGGUGAGUGGAAUUCCGAGUGUAGAGGUGAAAUUCGUAGAUAUUCGGAAGAACACCAGUGGCGAAGGCGGCUCACUGGCCCGAUACUGACGCUGAGGCACGAAAGCGUGGGGAGCAAACAGG